UUUUUUUUUUUAAAGUAUAGAUAAUCAACAAAUUUACCGAAUUUGUAAAGAAAGGUAUUACCCUAACAAUUGGACUUUUACUUAGCAAAAGUUAGCAUCAUUUUUACAACUCUCAAACAGUUUCUGUGUUUUCAAAUGAAUCGUAGUAACUUCUCCCGAUUUGGCCAUAAUAUCUAGGCCGAGUUUGGGAUGUUACAAUUUAUUCCCUAUCCCAAUUAGGUCCUAGUUCAAUUAAAAUCUAUUUUUUUUCAAAUUAGACCUCAA
RNAcentral lists this long non-coding RNA (264 nucleotides) under Gossypium barbadense (sea-island cotton). RNAcentral's name for it is "long non-coding RNA (GBAR_LNC002894)". Lineage: Eukaryota; Viridiplantae; Streptophyta; Magnoliopsida; Malvales; Malvaceae. The record is from RNAcentral.